GACGAACGCUGGCGGCGUGCUUAACACAUGCAAGUCGAACGGAAAGGCCCUGCUUUUGUGGGGUGCUCGAGUGGCGAACGGGUGAGUAACACGUGAGUAACCUGCCCUUGACUUUGGGAUAACUUCAGGAAACUGGGGCUAAUACCGGAUAGGAGCUCCUGCUGCAUGGUGGGGGUUGGAAAGUUUCGGCGGUUGGGGAUGGACUCGCGGCUUAUCAGCUUGUUGGUGGGGUAGUGGCUUACCAAGGCUUUGACGGGUAGCCGGCCUGAGAGGGUGACCGGCCACAGUGGGACUGAGAUACGGCCCAGACUGCUACGGGAGGCAGCAGUGGGGAAUAUUGCACAAUGGGCGGAAGCCUGAUGCAGCAACGCCGCGUGCGGGAUGACGGCCUUCGGGUUGUAAACCGCUGUCGCCUGUGACGAAGCGGGAGUGACGGUAAUGGGUAAAGAAGCACCGGCUAACUACGUG
This 468-nucleotide ribosomal RNA is filed under the name uncultured bacterium. RNAcentral's name for it is "partial 16S ribosomal RNA". It matches the Rfam family "Bacterial small subunit ribosomal RNA", at positions 28 to 507 of the family's 1533-position model. The record is from RNAcentral.